Molecule: ribosomal RNA, 592 nt
Filed under: uncultured marine eukaryote
Lineage: Eukaryota
Description: SSU rRNA
Rfam family: Eukaryotic small subunit ribosomal RNA
Source: RNAcentral
GUUAAAAAGCUCGUAGUUGGAUUUCUGGGCUGAGCGACCGGUCCGCCGCUGUGCGGUGUGUACUCGGGUGCGACUCGGCUCAUCCUUGCAGGGAACGGCAUUCGGUCUUAACUGGUCGAGGUCGGGAAUUGCAUCGUUUACUGUGAAAAAAUUAGAGUGUUUAAAGCAGGCUUAUGCUGUGAAUACAUUAGCAUGGAAUAAUAAGAUAGGACUUUGGUUCUAUUUUGUUGGUUGGAGGCCAAGGUAAUGAUUAAUAGGGAUAGUUGGGGGUAUUCAUAUUUAAUUGUCAGAGGUGAAAUUCUUGGAUUUGUGAAAGAUGAACUUAUGCGAAAGCAUUUACCAAGGAUGUUUUCAUUAAUCAAGAACGAAAGUUAGGGGAUCGAAGAGGAUUAGAUACCCUCGUAGUCUUAACCAUAAACUAUGCCGACUAGGGAUUGGAGGACGUACUUUUAAUGACUCCUUCAGCACCUUACGAGAAAUCAAAGUCUUUGGGUUCCGGGGGGAGUAUGGUCGCAAGGCUGAAACUUAAAGGAAUUGACGGAAGGGCACCACCAGGAGUGGAGCCUGCGGCUUAAUUUGACUCACCACGGGA